Long non-coding RNA from Nicotiana attenuata, 586 nucleotides. RefSeq lists it as uncharacterized. The record is from RefSeq and is a predicted model, not a curated record. The transcript has 2 exons. Lineage: Eukaryota; Viridiplantae; Streptophyta; Magnoliopsida; Solanales; Solanaceae.
GUCCGUGACGAUUUAAAACCUACAUCAAUCAUUUGCUCUCAACGAGGGCUAUCGAUUGGCGUUGCUAAUAGACCUUUUCACGAUGGCCGAAAUCCCUUUCACCGGAAUCCUUCGUCUUUGUCAAAAUUCGUUGAACCUCAACGAGAUUUGUUCAAUGAAAUACUUAUCGGACAUCAAGCAUCCAGAUAAGUGUUCAUUGGACGAAGGUCGCUAUAAUUUAACCUCGAAACUCCGGCGUUUGAUUUGAACCCUAAGCUUCCGGUCUUACCAGCUCUGUACAGAUAGACCCGGUGACGCCCCUCCCCAGUAGGUGCAUGAUUCAACUGUUGAUUGUUGCUCUCUCUCCUUCGGGGUAGCUGUUCAUAAGUUAAUAGGUAUAGGGGAUUUUGUAAAUGUUUUGGGAACGGUGGGGCCUUGUCCCAACCUAGUUGUGUACAUCUAUGCUUUUUUGUACUCUUAGAGGCUUGCAGGCUAGAGUUCAGUUGUAUAUUGUGUAAAAGGGGCAGUUACGACUUCGUUAAGAACAAUUGAAAUUAUGUAUAAAGUGCUAAAGUUUUCUUUAUUAAUCAGUUGUACUCAUUUACAA